GGACCGGUUGAGUACAGCUACUUUCAUAGGAGGAAGAAUGGGGGAAGAAAGCAAGCGAGCAAUAUACCUCCACCAGGGAGCACAGUGGAGGCACAGGGCUUGUAGGAGACCUGUCACGAAGCUUGACUCCUUCUGCUCACACAGGAACUUGAGGCCAAAUCCCUAUGAGCUGCUCCUCCUGUGCGUAAUCCCAUCUCCUGCAAAAACCCCAUUGAUGGCGGCCGCCAGCAUCCAGCCCAACGCAGGACGCCGAGGACGGGCGUCCAUCCAGCACGACAAGGGAUGCUGGAAGAGAUCCCUGCCGGGUACAGCUCCAUCUGCCUCUGACACUGCCUGGGCUCCAUGGACGGACAGCACCAGCACCUCGCGAGAGGAGCCGAGGAGUUUACCAACGUGCCCUAAUACAUCCUGA
Molecule: long non-coding RNA, 412 nt
Filed under: Coturnix japonica (Japanese quail)
Lineage: Eukaryota; Metazoa; Chordata; Aves; Galliformes; Phasianidae
Description: lncRNA (ENSCJPG00005006169.1)
Source: RNAcentral